RNAcentral lists this ribosomal RNA (861 nucleotides) under uncultured bacterium. Its description in RNAcentral is "bacterial SSU rRNA". It matches the Rfam family "Bacterial small subunit ribosomal RNA", at positions 27 to 897 of the family's 1533-position model. The record is from RNAcentral.
GAACGAACGUUGGCGGCGUGGAUUAGGCAUGCAAGUCGAACGAAUCCCUGAGGGCUUGCUCUCAGGGGGAAGUGGCGAAAGGGGCAGUAAGGCGUGGGUAACCUACCCCGGGGACCGGGAUAGCCCUCCUAACGGAGGGGUAAUACUGGGCGAUGUGGCGUGAGGGCAUCCUCGUGCCACCAGAUGAAUUUCGCCCUGGGAGGGGCUCACGUAGUAUUAGCUAGUUGGUGGGGUGAUGGCCUACCAAGGCAAAGAUGCUUAGCGGGUGUGAGAGCACGACCCGCGCCACUGGCACUGAGACACUGGCCAGACUCCUACGGGAGGCUGCAGUCGAGGAUCUUCGGCAAUGGGCGCAAGCCUGACCGAGCGACGCCGCGUGUGCGAUGAAGGCCUUCGGGUUGUAAAGCACUGUCGAGGGGGAGGAAGGCGCAAGCUUGACCUAUCCCUGGAGGAAGCACGGGCUAAGUUCGUGCCAGCAGCCGCGGUAAGACGAACCGUGCGAACGUUGUUCGGAAUCACUGGGCUUAAAGGGCGCGUAGGCGGCUAGGUAAGUCUCGGGUGAAAUCUUUCGGCUUAACCGGAAAAGUGCCUGGGAUACUGCGUAGCUAGGGGGAGAUAGGGGCGGACGGAACUUCCGGUGGAGCGGUGAAAUGCGUUGAUAUCGGAAGGAACGCCGGUGGCGAAAGCGGUCCGCUGGAUCUCUACUGACGCUGAGGCGCGAAAGCCAGGGGAGCAAACGGGAUUAGAUACCCCGGUAGUCCUGGCCCUAAACGAUGGGUACUGGGUAGUGGGCCGUCAUGUGCUCACUGCCGAAGCGAAAGUGGUAAGUACCCCGCCUGGGGAGUAUGGUCGCAAGGCUGA